GGAGCUUGCUCCCGGAUGUUAGCGGCGGACGGGUGAGUAACACGUGGGUAACCUGCCUGUAAGACUGGGAUAACUCCGGGAAACCGGAGCUAAUACCGGAUAGUUCCUUGAACCGCAUGGUUCAAGGAUGAAAGACGGUUUCGGCUGUCACUUACAGAUGGACCCGCGGCGCAUUAGCUAGUUGGUGGGGUAAUGGCUCACCAAGGCAACGAUGCGUAGCCGACCUGAGAGGGUGAUCGGCCACACUGGGACUGAGACACGGCCCAGACUCCUACGGGAGGCAGCAGUAGGGAAUCUUCCGCAAUGGACGAAAGUCUGACGGAGCAACGCCGCGUGAGUGAUGAAGGUUUUCGGAUCGUAAAGCUCUGUUGUUAGGGAAGAACAAGUGCGAGAGUAACUGCUCGCACCUUGACGGUACCUAACCAGAAAGCCACGGCUAACUACGUGCCA
RNAcentral lists this ribosomal RNA (450 nucleotides) under Bacillus sp. (in: firmicutes). Its description in RNAcentral is "bacterial SSU rRNA". It matches the Rfam family "Bacterial small subunit ribosomal RNA", at positions 75 to 510 of the family's 1533-position model. The record is from RNAcentral. Lineage: Bacteria; Bacillati; Bacillota; Bacilli; Caryophanales; Bacillaceae.